Molecule: long non-coding RNA, 3393 nt
Filed under: Sus scrofa (pig)
Lineage: Eukaryota; Metazoa; Chordata; Mammalia; Artiodactyla; Suidae
Description: lncRNA (ENSSSCG00040048752.1)
Source: RNAcentral
AGUACUUGCCCAUGUCCCCUGGCCGCUGAAGGGCUGAGGGGCAGAGCCGGGCGCAGAAACUGUUGACCUUCAGUCCCAGAAUUGUCACAGCCUCUCUCCAGCACCACCUCUCCCCCAGCUGUCCAGCUCACCUCUUAACAAAAAACCUUUCUCCAGCCAUCCGACCCCAUCAGUCCCCAAUUCUGAAGCCUCUUAGAUUUCAUAGCUGGACAUCAAAGCCCACCCCCAGCCUGGUGUUUCCCUGCCUGUCCCCCUACUACUCACCACCCCCUCAAGUGGUUCAACUCUUCCUCUUACUCCUCGAACUUUCCCCUCUCUACCCUCUCCAUGAAUCCAAACUCCCCUGAUCCCUCCAGGUUCAGCGCAGGGCCUCCUCCUCCAGGAAGCCGGCUUGGAUGUCCCGCAGCCCUGAGAGCUCUCUUUUCUCUGCACCUGGAGGAUAACCUCUCCUGUGACUCUCGGCAUGGAUUGGCUCAGAAUGUUAGCCUUCUCACUGUGCUGCGUCGUUUCGUUCCCCUAAUUUCACCCCAAACUUGCAGGCCAGAUGCUUGUCACGUAUUUCUUCCGUGUCGGCACGGGCCUUCACGAGGCAGCCUCCCGCAGGAGCUAAAAAAGUGCUGCUUGGUUAACAACAGCAGUCAAAACCAUCAGCAGCAGGAGACAUACCUCCAGGGCUCCACAUCACUCCCCCAGCCAAGGUCGCAUACCGGUGCCCCCAGCCCCCAUAUUCUAGGUACCACCCAUGUCCUCAAGACCACUUAACUCUCAAGGUCACCCACAGCCCUCUGGCAACCCAGCCGGCUUCUUGAGUAGUUCCCAGCAGCCGCAGGCUCUGCAGACAGGCAUCCUGGGCCGAGCGGCCAAUGUCAGCCAGCAGACAGGAGGGUGAGAACAUCAGGCUGGCACUGUGUGCGUGUCCUUCUCUGCCAGGGCACUUGCUGAUGGGAGUGAGGGACGGGGGUGGCAGGCAGCGGAGGGCAUGGCUCUGGAGCACUAGAAUUCCACCUGCCAAGGACUCGGCGCCCUUCCACAGAGCUGGCUCCAGCCUGUGCUUCCUUUCCCAGCCUCUCCCUGGCCUCAGGGGCUCUUCCUGGCUUUGCCUCUCACUCCGGGAACCUUGACCAGCAUCAUGGCCACCUCUUUUCCCCAGCGAGAGAGCCUGCUCUGCUGUUUGUGCCUCCUCUCCCUGGUGGACCUCGGCACGGGGCACCCUCUGGGUCAGGAAUGCCGGUGGAGCUUCCCCAGGCCGGGCAAGCCACUGAAGCCCUCAGGACCCCUCAGUCUCCUCAUCCAUAAAGUGGGGUCAGAUCCUGUCAUUUGCGUAGCGACAGAGGUGGGGUCAGAUCCAGGCAUGAAAGAAGAAUAAUUUCUACAGCAUUUUCUGUGCUGGGCACUCUGUGAACCCCUUUAUGAGGACUCUAUGUUUCAUCUUCCCCAAAUGCUCAGGGGUUGGUACAGUUAUUAUCCUCACUCCACAGACAGAGAGAUAGAGGCUCAAGAGGUGAAGGAGGUAGCUCAACUGACCACCCGGCAAGCAAGCAGUCGAGAGUUGAAGUGGGGUCUCCGCUUCCUGCACCUGCCCUCCCUCUGCAGACAGCAUCAUCCUAUGAGGAACGGCCAAGACAUGAACUGUUUAUAUCCCGUGGUGGGGGUGGGGUGGGGGGAAGACUCAGGAGUCCCUGUUUAAGUGGGGGAUGGAUAUGGUCCUGGGUGGAGGAACCCUGCUCCUUUUUCUCCCAGCCAGGCCUGACCUAUGGACCAUCUGGUGACCAACUCUCCUGGUUUGUCUGCGACCUUCCCAUAGUCCUUAAAGUCCCAUGUCCCAGUUUGCCCAGGAUGGUUGGUCACUGUACCUGUGGUCUUGGUCGCCCCUGGACCAGUUGCAGAAAAGGCCAAGUGGCCUGAUGGAGCCACGUCAGGACAACCUGGGAGGCCUUUUCAAUUACAUUAGCUUCUGGCAGCGCCAGAGGGAAAUGCUAGUCCCCGCCUCCCCUCCCUUUCUCCUUCCUCUGACUCCUUGGGCGAUAGUGAUUCAGCAGCAAGUGGGAAGCAGGCUAGACUGUGACCUACCAGGAGUGGAAUCACCAGUGGUGGGGGUGGCUGUCAGCCCCAGCUCAGGGCAAGAAUUGGAGCAAGGAGGGGAGGUGGGUAGGGGGUCUUGGGUUGAUGGGGAACCAGACUCCAGCUGUCCUGCCCAGGUCAGGAUUUACUGCAGGGCAGUGGGAGGUGGAUGCCCCCCCCCACCCCGCUCCAUGCCCUGGUAUGUGAGGGAUGGGGGAGUCCCAGCCAUUGGAUACCUAAACUGCUUCUCACCAUAUUCAGCGGCUAAAAAUACAAAACGGCUUUGCUAAAAGGUGCCCGACCAGAAACCUCCUAGAGGCUUCCUACUAGGGCUGCGCCUGCUCGGGCUGGAGUCCAGAUGCCGUGUGAAGGAUUCCUACGCCUGCCAUCCCACCAUCCAGUCCCAGCUUGGCAAUCCCACUGCCAGGGUCUCAGCCUCCAUCCAUUAACCCAUGGGUUUGCCCUCCUUCCCCUGCACCCACUGGUGGCAGCAUUUGGGGAUGGGUCUUGAGCCCCAGAGCAAGGCCUGGGUUCUUGGCCACCCAGGCCCAGCCUCACCUACUCACUGUGUGACCUGGAACAAGUUGUCCAGCUUCUCUACCUUUGCUGUCCUCACCUGCAAAACAGGGAGACCACGGGGUCCAGAAGUCCUUGGCAGGAUGGGCUUGUACUCUGGUUGAAGGACCGGCUGGCCAGGGGAUUUCUCUGGAAGCAUUAAUGUUUCUUAGGGGUGGCUGGUGUCCUGAUGGAGAUUAUGGUACAGGGACUGGAGGGUCUCUUGGCCCCCCUCCUGCUCACGUGUCAGGGUCAUAGUGAUGGAGGUGGACACUGUGCUGGGCCUGAGGUUCUCAGCCAACACUGGCCCAACCUCAGAACCCCAAGGUGCUCAUCGGAGAUGCAAACACUGGGUUAGGUGAGGUGGGGUUGGGGCCCCACGUCUGAAUUUGUGCCAAUCUCCCUACAUGAUCCUGUUGAAUGACCAGGUCAAGAAUCACUGGCCUGGCCUGGCACAGAGCAGACCCUCAGCCCCCUGGGGAAUUAUGCGCCCCCUCCCCCCACCCCCAGCGUUAGUGUGCUUCUGUCACACAUGGUAAUGACCUGCUGUCUCCCCUCUGGGGCUGUUGACAAGCUCAAAGAGGAUCCUGGGUAGCCACAGCUGCACAAACAGAGGGAAAGAGAAUGGCCAUCACUGCAAGGAGGCCACCCCCUGUCUGGACUCCGGGGAGCCAGGGGAUGGGCAGUGGGCCAUUGUGGCCCCUGGCCCCGAGGCUUCUCCUGCAGGACCAGUGGGGAAAUUGUGGGGCAGGUGGGGCGGUUCCUCCUUGUCUCCAU